This 1891-nucleotide long non-coding RNA is filed under the name Salvator merianae (Argentine black and white tegu). Its description in RNAcentral is "lncRNA (ENSSMRG00000011390.1)". Lineage: Eukaryota; Metazoa; Chordata; Lepidosauria; Squamata; Teiidae. The record is from RNAcentral.
GUCAUACCUUGGUACUNGUCGCUAAUUGGUUUCCNGGAGAUGUGAUGAGUACCAAAAAGAAUGAGUACCAAACAAAUUUUUUCCCCAUUAGGAAUAAUGUAAAUAAAUUUAAUGUAUUCCCAAACCAAAGACAAUGCACAUUUUUAAGGCAACAUGUAAAAAGAUAGGGCUGCAUAUCAUUACUUUACAUGAGAAAUAAACCUAAAAAUUAAUAAAUACCUGAACUGUACUUGGAUUAAAUACACGAAAUGACUGCAGAAGCCAUGAUAAGACCACAAGGGGAUGGGAACAGGGCAAGAACUACUGCGUGACUAACAUGUGACCCUUGUUACGUCUGGAAAGGGUAGUGAGUCACGAGGAAACAAGUCCAAGGAAUAAAUCAGAAUUCAGUGUCAACAGGAGAAGAGACACCCAAGGGUGCAAUGAUCAGGAUUAAAGCGAGGCAAGGAAACAUAUGGCUGUGAGCUCAGGGUCCUUCCCUGCCUCAGAGUUGAAACUUCUCAAGAGAUUUCAUCCAGUGCAGAACAUGGAGUUAGGAGCAUCAAUUUCGGGGGGGGGGGGAGUUAAACUGAAAUUCAUUGAUUCAAAAUGUAGUUCUGGUUUUAAGAGCUGUAGAAAAAAAAUUACUGCCUUCAGGUUGGAGAGAGAGGCAGGGAGCCCAGGGCAGGUGAAGGUUUAAGGUUUUGCCUUUGUCUUCUGCAUGAGAUGCCCAGAAGCAACUGGUGGGCCACUGGGUGAGACGGGAUGAUGGACUAGAAGGGCUGUGGCCUGAUCCAGCAGGGCUCCUGUUAUGUUCUUAUUCUGAGAACCCAGCAUAGAAAGAACAUCUUAGUCAGUUAUGUACUACAGCUUCUGGAUUGAGUUUACAUGGACACAGUCUUAGGCCAGGAGACGCAGUAUAGCAGAAGGUGCUUUCUCAAGCAGUGGCAGUUGCCUCUGAUGGAAAGUGGAGAUGAGGUCUGACAUUAGAUGGAACCAUCUUCACAUCCGCCAGCUAACAUCUGUNUCGGGCGCACGCAUUCAUUCUGGCCUUCAUGGGAGCUGCCCUAUAGCGGUAAGGGUUUGUGGGAGAUUUUCUAGCUGACUUUGGCCCAGUUCUGAAAUGGAGAUUGUAGGGCAACAAGAGGGCAGAUUUUGGAAAAGCCAGGCUGUGGUGAUGAAUUGACUUACUAUUGUAUGUGAUCUCUUGGUGGUGGCCUUUCUACUUCUUGGGAAAGGAUUUUUGAGGAGAUGGAAUGCACCGGCGGCUACUUAACCCCUGUGUCUUUCCUGCUUCUGGGCACGGAAUCCACUCUUGGAAGAGCUGCUCCUGGUACANCCAUGGACUGUAAUUUAGCUGUCCACAGCUAGUAGCAUUCAGGGGUGUCUGCAGAUGUUCCCGAACAUGGGGACCUCCGCAAAGUGCAUCCGCACUUUGCUAGUGAGCNUCUGGAUUGACCAGUUCGAACUCAAAUUGAAUCAACUCUGACUGGUUCGAAUUGAACUGAACCACAGGGGUGUUUGCAUGAACAGGCCGAACAGCCCUGUUUGCUUUGAACAGGUUCGAAUGCAAUCAAGGGUUUUUUCACAGACAAUUUUAGUGUAAAUUUUAAAAAUGAAUGAAUGUGUACCUGUCCGAUGUUCAAAAUUGAACCUGGUCGAGCCAGUUUGACCCAAUUUGAGUUCAAACCAGAUUCAGCAUAAUUUGGUUUGAUUCGAGCCGAACUGAACUGAACCGAACCACAGUUUUUAUGUUCAUCCACAUCUCUUGUUUUUAAUAAGAAAAUGUGAAAUGUUCUCAUCUGUAUGUUUGUUUGUUUUUUAUUCUGCUUGGUAUUUGCUGAUUUUUUUCUUUUGUUGACCGGCCAACGGCUGUAAUAAAAAGUCCUCCUCCUCCUUCUACUAGUUGGAA